Molecule: ribosomal RNA, 496 nt
Filed under: uncultured Sphingobacteriales bacterium
Lineage: Bacteria; Pseudomonadati; Bacteroidota; Sphingobacteriia; Sphingobacteriales
Description: bacterial SSU rRNA
Rfam family: Bacterial small subunit ribosomal RNA
Source: RNAcentral
CGCCUAGCCCGCUCAGAACUCAAAUAGAAUUGACGGGGCCGCACAAGCGUGGAGCAUGUGGUUUAAUUCGAUGAUACGCGAGGAACCUUACCUGGGUUCAAAUGUAUGUUGACGUAUUCUGAAAGGGAUACUUCUUCGGACAAUAUACAAGGUGCUGCAUGGUUGUCGUCAGCUCGUGCCGUGAGGUGUCGGGUUAAGUCCCAUAACGAGCGCAACCCCUAUCAUUAGUUGCCAUCAGGUCAAGCUGGGGACUCUAAUGAAACUGCCUACGCAAGUAGUGAGGAAGGUGGGGAUGACGUCAAAUCAGCACGGCCCUUACGUCCAGGGCUACACACGUGCUACAAUGGCCGGUACAAAGGGCAGCUACCUGGUGACAGGAUGCUAAUCUCAAAAGCCGGUCUCAGUUCGGAUCGGAGUCUGCAACCCGACUCCGUGAAGCUGGAAUCGCUAGUAAUCGCGCAUCAGCCAUGGCGCGGUGAAUACGUUCCCGGGCCUU